Molecule: long non-coding RNA, 1129 nt
Filed under: Brachypodium distachyon (stiff brome)
Lineage: Eukaryota; Viridiplantae; Streptophyta; Magnoliopsida; Poales; Poaceae
Description: long non-coding RNA (BDIS_LNC001568)
Source: RNAcentral
CUAAUCCUAUGCUUCUAGAACAUGCAUGACAAAAAAUAGUUUCCUUCAAAGAAAAAACAUGGCAAAAUCCUGGUGUUUUUUGUAACAUUUGGUGCUACUAUUCUUGGUUGAUGGAUCCUUGAGAAAAGCAAUCUAGACUGAACCUUGGGUGGCAUACAAGACAAGAUGUGAUCGGUGCUCUAUUUAUGUGGUGAGGACAUGUGUGCGAUGAAACGCGAGGAGGACAAAAAAAAAAUACAUGAGAGUUGGAAGCUUACACAUGGAUGUUAAAGAGAGCAAAAGGUACCAAUUUAAACCAACAAAUAGACCAUGCAUGCAUUAAUGCAUACACAUGUCUGCAGGUUAUUUUGUACUUCCUUGUCUUGGUGACGAAAAAAAUAAUGACACCAACACAGACGCAUGUCGAACACAGCUAGAUGAUUAAUUGGCUACUUACACCCAUACAUAUGAACAAAGUUCUUAAUACGGCGGAAAAAAACAUAUCCAUGCAUGAUAAUAAUCUUUUGACCUAUGUCUGAAAAGACCAGCACAGAUCCUCUGACUUGAUGCCUUGUGACUUUGAGUUGCUGUCAUGUGGGGCUCACAGCUGGAGGGCGCAGCCCACCUGCAAGUGACUCAAGUCACGCGGUACCAAGUCAGACAGGUGCCUGAAAAGACACAUAACAACUGCACAAGACUCUAGAAGAUGAUCAGUACACUUACCUGAAAUUUUUUAACUCCGGUUUUAUAUAUGUAUUUAUUUGUUUUUCUAAAAAAAUCUAAUCAUGAUCGGAGCAAAUUAGACAAACAAAUUCCACACUUCAUGGAUUAUGACCUUUGUUGUGCUGGCGAAGGAAACAUUGCUUUAUUCGUUUGGUGGCUGCAUUGGAAUUGGAAACCCGCGAGUAUUGAGGUAGCACCGAUUUGGACGCUUCCUUGAAAAGAAAAAAAAUAUCACCAAAUUGAAUGAGUGAACUGAAGUUGCAUGCACAUUAGGAUCAUUAGACCUUGGUGAAAUUUAAUCCAGGUUUUAUGCCAUCAUGCUCCAUCUAGAUAUAGCGAUGACCGCGACUGCUUACUCGAUCGGCUUCGCUUUUCAUGGUGUGGCCGUGAUCUGUGAUUCAGAGGUGUUGGUAGUUCUUUAAACCAC